This 586-nucleotide ribosomal RNA is filed under the name uncultured bacterium. RNAcentral describes it as "partial 16S ribosomal RNA". It matches the Rfam family "Bacterial small subunit ribosomal RNA", at positions 355 to 1375 of the family's 1533-position model. The record is from RNAcentral.
UGGGGAAUUUUGGACAAUGGGCGAAAGCCUGAUCCAGCAAUGCCGCGUGUGUGAAGAAGGCCUUCGGGUUGUAAAGCACUUUUGUCCGGAAAGAAAUCCUUGGCUCUAAUACAGUCGGGGGAUGACGGUACCGGAAGAAUAAGCACCGGCUAACUACGUGCCAGCAGCCGCGGUAAUACGUAGGGUGCAAGCGUUAAUCGGAAUUACUGGGCGUAAAGCGUGCGCAGGCGGUUUGCUAAGACCGAUGUGAAAUCCCCGGGCUCAACCUGGGAACUGCAUUGGUGACUGGCAGGCUAGAGUAUGGCAGGAGGGGGGUAGAAUUCCACGUGUAGCAGUGAAAUGCGUAGAGAUGUGGAGGAAUACCGAUGGCGAAGGCAGCCCCCUGGGCCAAUACUGACGCUCAUGCACGAAAGCGUGGGGAGCAAACAGGAUUAGAUACCCUGGUAGUCCACGCCCUAAACGAUGUCAACUAGUUGUUGGGGAUUCAUUUCCUUAGUAACGUAGCUAACGCGUGAAGUUGACCGCCUGGGGAGUACGGUCGCAAGAUUAAAACUCAAAUGAAUUGACGGGGUCAUAGCUGUUUCCU